ACCAAGACAGCUUUAAUUGUACUUAUUUUUUUAGACAUACACAGGUCCUUACGGUCUUCCUUUGCGCAUGCUGUUAAUACAGAAACCCAUCACAGAGAGGAUUACCCCAUGACAGUCCUUUAGCCCUUCUCCAGGUGCAGAGGUCCCACAGACGUGCAGGGAGCGUUGGGAGUUCCAACAGAAAGCCCUGAGGUCAUGGAGGACUGGAAGUGGCUGGAGAGCAGAGAAGCAAAUCAACGGGAGCAUAUGGCGGGUGAUGUAAUGGGUGUCUCUCCCAUGCAAAAUCCUGCCAGACCCCAGGGUCUUGGUGUCCGACUUUCCCUGCUCCCCUCACAACUGAUCACAGAAUUACAGAAGCACAGAGUGCCUUGGGUUGGAAGGGAGCUGCAGGUCGCCGUGCAGACUUCACGUCCUCCCUUCCCUUGCCUUCCCGCUGCCGGUCCCUGAACAGCAAUCACGCUCAGAGCACGCACGUAAAAUCAGGCUGCUAAUGUAACAGAUAUCUCAGCCCCAAUGACAAUGGAACUUACAAACUGAUUCGGCUUAACCGACUGUGACUGCAAUAGGCUAAUUCCACGUUUCUAAUUAAAUUACAUUAUUUUCUAGGUGGAAGUUUAUGAGCAGAGGUGAAGAGUAAUGAUAUGAGCAAGCCAGAGAACCACGUGUACUUGUCAGAUUCGAGACUCCUGUCUAGAUGCGAUAUUGUUCUCUGUUUCAAACUCCUGACCGAGGCGUUCCUAGCAAUUACUUCCUCUUGGUCUGCAGAACACGUGCAGACAAUUCUCAGCCUUGUCCCCUGGUGCCACUUGUAACACUGGAAGAUACCGACCUUAAUCCACAGCUCCCUGUCCUCAGAGCCAUUAUCGGACGACAAAUCUGCUUGCACCGCCAUCUACACAACGGCCUCUGCUGUUGCUUACAUACAGGCCAUUUCUGCAGCUGGGUGCACCUUCUUGCUACACCUGCACGAGGCAGAGGCAGCAGGGAGAAGGCAAGGAGGGAGGCCAGCCCCCCACCCCCGGUGCUCAGAGUGUCCUACCAGCACUGUGCUAGAGAGGGUGCUCUGCCCUCACUGAACUCACAGCAUCGGUGUUACAUGAAGUUACACCUUUCCUCGCUCUCAGCUUCCUCAUGAAAUGGCGGAACAAUG
RNAcentral lists this long non-coding RNA (1150 nucleotides) under Numida meleagris (helmeted guineafowl). RNAcentral describes it as "lncRNA (ENSNMEG00000012607.1)". Lineage: Eukaryota; Metazoa; Chordata; Aves; Galliformes; Numididae. The record is from RNAcentral.